UCUCCAAUCCAAGUUCUAGAACCUUUACUGAUAUAGUCAUUUCAUCAAACUUUCUUGAAGCAGUAGCAGACCGUACCUCAAAAUUCUUAACCUGCAUAGAUGUGACCCAAGAAAAGCAGUGUGAAUUGUUGUCUUCAGUGAUCCACUCUUCUUAUCUGAAGUGAAAGACCAUGACUGACCCUUCGAUGAAUGAUGGAAGAUAGAAGACAAUGAGGAACAUUGUUCAUGAAAUCAGAAGCCUGAAGUCCAGGUGCUGGUAAGGCCAUGCUCCCUCUGAAGAUGCUAGGGGAGAAGGUUUCCUUGCAUCCUCAAGAUUCUGACAGCUCCUGGAGUUCCCUGGUUGGUGGUAGCAAAUGCCAGUCUCUGCCUCCAUCUUCACAAUGGCUUCUUCCAUGUAUGUCUCUUUGUGUCCUUUUCUGUCUCUUAUUAGGACACACUCAUUGGAUUUAGGGAUCACCGUAAUCCAGUAUGAUCUUAUCUUGAUCCUUACCUUUAUUACCUGUGAAAAGACCCUAUUUCCAAAAAACACUCUGAGCUUCUUGGCGGGCAUGGAUAUUUUGGAAAAUGCUAUUCGACCCUCAGCAUUUAUGCUACUUCACACAUGCUUCAAAGCUAUUGUAAUAAACAUUGAAGUGAGUAGAAAUCAAAUAAUCAAACAAUUGGUUUAUUACAAUAGAUUUAAAAAUCUGGUGAAUUCACUAAAGAAUUUGAAUCAUCAUUUCUAAUAGAAGCA
Molecule: non-coding RNA, 733 nt
Organism: Equus caballus (horse)
Lineage: Eukaryota; Metazoa; Chordata; Mammalia; Perissodactyla; Equidae
Source: RefSeq, a predicted model, not a curated record